RNAcentral lists this long non-coding RNA (801 nucleotides) under Equus caballus (horse). RNAcentral's name for it is "lncRNA (ENSECAG00000049460.1)". Lineage: Eukaryota; Metazoa; Chordata; Mammalia; Perissodactyla; Equidae. The record is from RNAcentral.
GGCAAAGGUCCUCCUCAGGUAGUAGGCCUAAAAGCUGCUAUAACUCCUUGAUCCAUUGGUUGGAUCAAAGAGUUGGUGUUUGGAGGGAGAAACACUGCUUUGAUAUUGGGAUGAAGACCACCAAUAAAAGGAGGAUGCCUGGGAGCAUUAUCAACAAUAGGCAAAAUCUUGAAAGGCCCUGGGCUUCUCACUGUGCUAGAUGACAAAGGAUUUCCAUUUGUAGCCUGCAACAUUGCCCCCAAGAAAGACUGUUAUCCUGUCCUUAAAACCCUUGAAACUUGUCAUUGACUUGUCCUCCUCGUGGAUGAAAGUCCUUUCAGGCAUCCGUUUCCAGAAUCAAGAGGUUUCAUCCACAUUGAAUAUUUACUUUGGUCAAUCACUCAAUGUGGCCUCUCACUAGUAAGAUUAGCAGUGGAUUUUGUAUGCUUAGGGGCCAUGAUGAGAUUAAAUUAAGCACAAGAGAAAAUGAUGCAAUCAAGAGAUGUGGUAAACACGAGACGUAUGAGGCUGCCGCUGACGUAAUACAGCAUCCUGUUUUACAGUAAACUUUCUUUUUUGUGAAGAUGGUGAGGCCUCCAGGGGUUAAGUGAUUUGCCAAGAGAUGCAUAGCUGGCAGCAGAGCCAGGAUUAGAACUCAGUCUCCCGGUUGCUAAGUCUGCGUGUUCCUUAUCCUAGACACCCAUGGAAAAUGAUCCACAUCAACUCUAUACACACCAAAGCCUUUAGUUCGUUUCUUUGUACGUAGUAGGUCUCAGUAAAUAGACAGAGGAUGAAUGGUGCAUAUUACAGGCAAGAGAGACC